Molecule: RNA transcript, 8678 nt
Organism: Loxodonta africana (African savanna elephant)
Lineage: Eukaryota; Metazoa; Chordata; Mammalia; Proboscidea; Elephantidae
Gene: RDH12
Gene name: retinol dehydrogenase 12
Exons: 2
Source: RefSeq, a predicted model, not a curated record
GGUAGACCUGCUGGACGGGCAGCAGGGCCAGCCUUCCUCCCGGGCCCCGCCGGCUGGCGAGGGGCGGGCGCUGCAGUGCAUGCCGGGAGCUGUAGUUCGGCGUGGGAAACGCUCCGACUCAGGCGUGACGCGUCGUUAGAGACGGGCGGUUCCGCCAGGGGCCGCUCCUGACUCUCAGGGUUUGGUAUCCGGGCGUUGUCUUCAGCGUUAUCGCACUUCACCUGCUAUCCUGCCGCUCUCGGGGGAACCCACCAGCACUACCAGAGGCCAUAACCCACCAUUUCCGAGGGAAAAAACCAUCACUGAGAACCAAAACGCUCUGCCUGACCCUGGAGAAUCAACCUGGCCUCUCAAGUCUCUGCAUCCUCCACUGCACUGUGCAUAACUAACACUCUUGGUAAGGUCACGGUAAAAAGCAAAUGACAUAAGGGACAUGAAAGUGCCUCCUAAGCUAUGACAUGCUAUAAAAAUUAUUCAAAUACAACAGUAAAAGCCACUUAAAGUGUGUUUAUGGUACCUGCACUUCAUCAGUCAUGGUAUUUAUAUUUCCAGUCAGGUUUUGGUGUUUAUCAGUAUACAUAAGAUUAUCUGGCCAAUUUAAAAACUUACUACAAGCUACGGUAAUCAAGACAGUGUGGUAUUGGCAUAAGGACAGACAUACAGGCUAAUGGGACAGAAUUGAGAGUCCAGAAAUAAAUCCGUAUAUUUAUGGCCAACUAAUUUUCAACAGGGGUGCCAAGACUAGUCAGUGGGGAAAAGGACAGUCUUCCCAACAAACAGUGCUGGGACAAAAGGAUAUCCACAUGCAAGAGAAUGAAGCUGGAUCCCUCCCUCAUGGCGUAUAUAAAAAUUAACUCCAAAUGGAUCACAGACCUAAAUGUAAGAGUUAAACCAUAAAAAUCUUAGAAGAAAACACAGAUAUAAAUCUUCAUUAGGCAAUGAUUUCUUAGACAUGACACCUAAAAUACAAGCGACAAAAGAAAUAAUAAAUUGGGCAUCAUCAAGACAGUGAUUAAAAGGACAUCACUGAGAGACUGAAAAGAGAACUCAUAGAAUGGGAGAAAAUAUUUGCAAAUCAUGUAUCUGAUAAGGGAUUUGUAUCUAAAAUAUAUAAAGAACUGUUACAAUUCAACAAUAAAAAAACAAUAAUCCAAUUUAAAAAUGGGCAAAGGAUUUGAAUAGAAAUUUCUCCAAAAAAGAAAUACAAAUGGACAAUAAACAUACGAAAAGAUAUUUAAUAUCUACUGGCCAUCAGAGAAACAAAUCAAAACCACAAUGAGAUACCACGUCACACCUACUGGGAUGGCUAUAAUCAAAAAGACAAAUAACAGGAAGUGUUGGCAAGCAUGUGAAGAAAUGUGAACCCUUACAUGCUGCUGACGGGAAUGUAAAAUGGUGCAGCCACUUUGGAAAACAGUUUGGCAGUAGUUCCUCAAUGGUUAAACGGAGAGUUACAUAUGACCCAGCAAUUUCACUUUUGGGAAUAUACCCAAGAGAAAUGAAAACAUACGUCUAUACAAAAACUUGUACACAAAUGUUCACAGCAGCAUUAUUCAUAACAGCCAAAAAGUUGAAACAAUCCAAAUGCCCACCAGUAAAUGAACAGAUAAGCAAACUGUGAUAUAUACAUGUAAAAAAAAAAUUCCAUUACAUAUACAUGUAAUGGAAUAUUAUUCAGUCAUAAAAAGGAAUGAAGUAGUGAUACAUGCUACAACAUGGAUAAACCUUAAAAACAUUAUGCUAAGUGAACGAAGCCAGACACAAAAGGUCACGUAGUAUAGGAUUCCAUUUAUAUGAAAUAUCCAAAACAGGUAAAUCCACAGAGAAUGCAGAUUGGUAGUUGCCAGGAGCUGGGGGAGAAGGGAAUGGGGAACAACUGCUUAACUGGUGAAAAUGUUUUGGAACCUGAUAGAGGUGGCAGUUGCACAACACUGUGACUGUACUAAAUGCCACUAGAUUGUUCACUUUAAAAUUAUUAAUUUUAUUUUAUAUUAAUUUCAUGUCAAUAAAAAAAAAGUAAAAGUCAAUUCAAUAAUGACCAAAAUCAUGGAUUUGUGGCUGACUUUCUUUAAAGCGCUCAGUCAAAACCAAGAUAAAGGGGUUAUUUAUUCUUUUUUUUUAAAUCUCCAGGGAAGGUGAAUCCAUACUCACCCCUAAAAUAUUCCAAUGUACAAUAUGGAGCCAGCAAAGUAAUAUAAAUUUCUUCUUUUUGCACUUCAGAUACACACUUCCAACUAUCUGCUAUAUAUUUCUACUUAUAUACCUCAUAGGUAACCCACAAUCAACAGGUACAGAGCCAAGUUUAUUACAUAGUGGACAACUGUUACUUUUUGGCUGAACAUCUACUCCACCUUUUUUUGGUAAUAGCAACCUGAUUUCUUUGUGAAUUACUUCUUCCCCCAGAUACAGUUUUAAUCAGGUGCCUCUCAUCCCCUAGCCGAGGGAUCAGCGAUGCAGGAAUGAAAGGCAAGGAGGUGGGAAGAAGGGAGUCCAAUGCCCCCUCUUGUAAAGUAGAUGGUGCGCAACAAAAACAAAAGAUGGCUGACAUUCACUCACUCCAACAGCAGUGUGCCAGCCAGCUGAUUAGCCACUCCUGACUGUUCUAAGUCUAGCUCUUCAGUCUUUGAUUUGAACCUGCGAGCACCCAUAAUACUCCAGUAAAUACACUUAAGUUAGCCAGUGUCUGUUCUCAUGUAACCAUUCGGUUAUAGACUGAUCUGUGCCCCACCUCCAAAUAUGUGUUGUAAAUCCUAACCCCUGUACCUGUGGAUGCUAUCCCCAUUUGCAAUCAGGCUUUCUUUGUUAUGUUAAUGAGGCCAUUAUCACUGUAGGGUAUGUCUUAAGCCAAUCACUUUAGGUAUAAAAAAAGGAAGAUUAGGCACAGAAGCAGGCACAGAAGGGGGGGGAAGACAGAUGCCACACCACAUGAAGAUCACCAAGGAACUGAGAAACAGAAGGUGAAGAGAGACAGGGACCCUCCCCCAGAGCAGACACAGAGCCUUCGCCUAGAGCCAGCACCCUGAAUUCGGACUUCUAGCAUUCUAAACUGAGAAAACGAAUUUCCGUUCAUUAAAGCCACCCACUUGUGGUAUUUCUAUGGUAGCAGCACUAAGAAACCAUGACACAUUCUUUUCAUUCCAAUUGUCAUUAUCCUAAAUCAGAAACUCGUUCUCUCUCAUUCAUAAACAGUCACCAAGCAUGUUUUUCUAAAGCACGGACCAGAUUGCAUCUCUCUCCACUGAAAUAACUUCUGUGUCUUCUCCACAGGUCUAGCAUUAUAGGCCUUCCAUGAUCUAUGUUUCUUCCCAAUCUUAUUUCUAGCUACAAUUCCUUCUCUAAAAUUUCAGGUUCUUUCAACAAAAUCUUCUUAAAAUUUUGAUCUUACAUGAUGCCUGGGACUUUCUACAAUAGUAUGAGAGGAGAAAAAUAUGGGAAAGGGGUAGUAGAUGAGAACGAAUUGGCCAUGGGUUAAUGGCUGUUGAGGUUGUAGAUUAUGGGUAUACCAAAAUACUCAUUGCUGUCGAGACAUUCUGACUCACAGCAACUUUAUAGGCAGGGACAAUUACCCAAUAAGGAAGGUACGCACGGUAUGCUUACUCUCUAAUCUAUAGUACACAAUUUACCUGUUUUUCACCACAUCUUUGAUCUGGUAAAACCCAUGUGAAAUUGUGCACUGCAGAUUCAUAAGUAAACAUAAUUAAGUCUGUGUAUACCUUUUUUUUUUUAUACCUUAGUUACUGUAAAUCAGUGUGGACCAUGCUUACUGGUUAAUCCUAUACCUAUAGGGCAGAGUAGAACUGCCCCACAGCGUUUCCAAGGCUUAAAUUUUUACAGAAGCAGGCUGCCACAUCUUCCUCCCACGGAGCAGCUGGUGCGUUCCAAUAGCUGACCUUUCAGUUAGCAGCUCAGUGCUUAACCAGUGCGCCAUCAGGGUUCCUUAGAUUAUGGGUCUAUGGGAGUUCGAUAUGCUGUUCUGUUUACUCCUGUGUAUACUCAAAAUUCUUUAUAAAAAAAUUUUAAGCCUUAGUCAAAAAGUAAGUUCAUAUUGAUCAGACAGGGAUCACAAAAGAGGGUGCUGGACAGAGCUGGAGAAAAAUUUAGAACAAAAUCCUAACUCACAAAAAAAGACCAGAAUUACUGGCCUGACAGAGACUGGAGAAACCCCAAGAGUAUGGCCCUCUGAUACCAUUUCAGCCCAGUAAUGAAGUCACUCCCAAGGUUCACCCUUCAUCCAAAGAUGAGACAGGCCCAUAAAACAAAAUGAGACUAAAGGGGCACAUUAGCCCAGGCACAAGGACAAGAAGGCAGGAGGGGACAGGAAAGCUGGUAAUAGGGAACCCAAGGUUGAGAAGGGAGAGUGUUGACAUGUCCUGGGGUAGUUAACCAAUGUUAUAAAACAAUUGUUCUGUAAACCUUCAUCUUUAAAGUAUAGUUAAAAAAAAAAAAAAGUGAGUUCAUAGAUACUAUUUUAGUCCUGAGGGCAAACAAUACAGAAAUACAGAUUCGAAUUCUUUGUAAUGUAAAAAAUAUAGUCCAAAAAGAAACAAAAAACUUGAACUGACAUAAAAGAUAAAAAGAAAACAAACAACCAAAAGCAUAAUCAUCAAUAUAAAAUAUGGUAUGAAUAAAAUCAAACCUAGCAGUUACGAUUGAAAAUGUGAAUGGGUCAAAUAAAAAUGUAAAAACCCUAGAGCCAAGAAACAAAAGCUAUUGUUAGGCCACGUACUUUUUAAAAAGGGUACAGUAUACUAGACAAAUCCAAGCUAUUUCCUUUGGGCAAUAAAAUUCCAUCUUUAGAAACAGAUACAUCCAUACCUGAAAUGUUUCCCACUCAGAAUCUCAAGGCCUUCCGUUAUAGCGCAGUACAGGCUGGUCUGGGCCCCCUGCUGAGGGGUCUUCAAAAAGAAGGAGAAAAGCCACCACAUCCACGUCAUGAAAGAUGAGUAUCGAGUCAAUUCAGAGUUGACUGUGCCAGGGUGUACAGAAUAUGUUGUCACCCCAGAGCCUGGUCGGGGGGUGACAGGUAGAGAAACGACAGGACUUGAUGUUGCUGACCAGCCGAAGACAGCAGAGAACAUGAAUAAACAUGUGGCCCCCACACGUGGACUCCUUGCCCAAAGCAACAUCGCAAGUACUCACAGUAAUUUAUACCCCCAUUUCAAAGAUCAGGAAGUUAAGGCUCAGAGAGGUCAAUAACUCUGUUAGGAAGCAGCAGAGCCAGGACUUGACCUCUCAGGUGGACAUGACAUUGUUGGCUGCUCCCUUCUUAGAGCCUUCUUUUCUGUCUUUUGUGACCCUUCACCUUUUCUGGUUUUCCACACCUUUCUAGCUGCUAAAUCUCAUUUUCUUCAACCAGUUCAUCAUCUUCUACCCAAGCUUUAAAUGUUUGGAGUUCUCAUGGCUCACUAAACUCCCCUUUUAUAUACAUUUAUACAUUCAUGGCCUUCACAUUUUUAACUACAGCCCAAAUCUCUCCUUUAAGUCUAGACUAUCAGAGGCAGCAUAAUCUGGUGGUUAAGGGCAUGGACUUUGCAACCAGACUGACCAAUUUCAAAUCCCAGCUCUACCACUCCCUUCUACACAGUCUGGCCAUGAGGAAAAAGCCUUAACUUGUUCAUGAGCCCUGAUUUAAUGAGAACAAUAGCCAGUGAAGUAGUCCUGUUUUACAUAUGAGGAAAUAAAUCUUGAAAGUUAAGUAAUUUGCUAUAGGUCACACAGUAAGUAGUAAAGCCAAGCUUUCAGACUCAGUCUGAAUCUCCCCAUCCCCUGCAGCCCACUUCCAAUCUUCAGUUACUAAAAGCAGGCCCAGUUGUAGUCAUGGAAGCAGGUCCUGUCUAGGUAUUGGGCUCCAGAAGAAUUUUCUCUCUCUUUGGCUUCUGACUACUCCCAAUGGCUCAUAUCUCCACACUCAUUUCUUCCAAACCUACCUUUCAGCCUCCGGGCCAGUUCCUGGGUGAAGAGAAUGUUGGCCAACUUGCUGUUACAGUAGGCCAAACCGUCACUGUAAAAUUUCUCACUCUGUAGGUCAUGGAAGUGGAUCCUUCCCAGGUGAUGUGCUAAGGAAGACACAUUCACUACUCUUGAUGGGGCCGAUUCCUUCAAUUUCUCUAGCAGCAGGUGGGUCAGGAGGAAGUGACCUGUGAGCGGAAAAAACUAGAAUUAACAGAGUUCAGGGCUGACGUGCAAGGAGGGGUAGAGGAAAAGGGCUCAGCUAUGGAACAAGGUCUUUCACCUCAACGUUUCAUUAUCAACUAGAGAACAAGUAUAGUGAGCAUUUCGGGAAACAGGAAUAGCCAAAGACACAAGAUUCUUCCUUAUAUGGAGAAGGUCUGGAUUAUGUGAGAUCUGACAUCUGGUCUCAUUCCAACUUUGGUUAACAUCACAUUUUAAGAGCAUGACACCUCUGCUUGAUGCUGGCACCAGACCACUACUCAGAAGGCAACACAACUCCCGAUUCAAUUAGGUUGUUCAAAAAACGUCUGAGGAUAAACCGAAUCAGAAUCACAGAUGGAAACGUAGGUAGGACCUCAAGUGAUCCUCAAGUUCAUCCCUUAGCUUCUAGGCAGGACCAUACUGUUAUUCACAUAUGGUCUAUUAUAGUCCUGAGACCCAAUCACAUCACACAAACAAGGCUCAAUCUGACCCUUAGGUUUUCUAAAGAGAACGUUAGGUUCCCUCUAUCUUUCUGAUGAGGCCAGAUCUCUUACCCAAGUGGUUGACUCCCAUGUGCAUCUCAAAGCCAUCUGCUGUCUUGGAGUAGGGACACAUCAUCACUCCUGCAUUGUUGAUCAAAAUAUGAAGCUGCUUUUCCUCUGCAGGGAAGACGAGAUGGAGUGUGGGAGUGGUCAACCAUGGCUGUUACAUCUUGGAAAUCUGCCCUCUGCUCAAGCUUUGAAAAUGAGGAUACGGGACUUCAAUCUUUCCUCCAUUUUCCCUUUAUACUUAUUUUGUAUUGUCUUUCAUCUUAAAGACUUCAGUCAAAUUCUAUAUACUUUUACUACAGGACAAUAUUCCAUUUUAUACUACCGAAUGGCCUUCUCAAUCUUUCUCACUGAGGAGCUACUCACUGUUUCUGGUAAGUGUUCUGUGCACCUCUCCCAAAAUAAAGACUUCUCAAGCUGAAAGGGAAGAGAGUCCAAAGGAAGAGAAAAGAGGACAUUCUGUAUGCAGCCUUGCCACUGGAAUUCAGUCCCCCCACCUGCAUAGUAGUUUUGCCUCUUUGUUGUAUCUGCUGACUCUGUCAUGGUUCAUUUUCUCACGUGGUUUGUAAUUUCAGAUUAUAAGCUCAUAUCGUAGAAGCUGUUUUCCCUCAGAAGCCAAGUUCCCUGGGUUAUGAGGGGGUAUGCUGACAGAGUGCCCUUGGAUUUGCUUCUGCUGUGAUAAUCUGUCCUAUGCCUGGGCUUUGAAAAUGCGGAUGUGGGACUUCAAUCUUUCUUCCAUUUUCCCUUUCUACUUACUUUGUACUGUCUUUCAUCUUAAGACUUUGGUCAAAUUCUACAUACUUUACUACAGGACAAAAUUCCACCUUACACUGCCAAACAGCCUUCCCAAUCUUUCUAAUUCAGGAGCUACUCACUGUUUUUACAUUGAUUUCUCAGUUCAAGAUUCUCACAUCGGUGGUGGUGUGAAUUCACACCCCACACCUGAUGUUACCUUGAGAGUCUAACUUUUUGCUGAUGGCCUUUGAUUCAUCUAUGCUCUGAGGAGAUGGUGCGCUUUUUUGUCAUAUCCCUGUGCUGGUGGCCAGUUUUUCUAGCCCCUAUCUCAUGGACCAGGUGGCCCUUUGUGAAUCCCAACCUAAUGUGGAGCCUCAGCUCCAGCUCUCCAGCUCUCAGAAGCCUGAGGCCUCAUCCCCUGUCCUUGUGUGGGUGUUUGGACCUGGACACUAAACCUAAAGGCCUAUUUUGAGUUCUGAUACUCCUGUGAGAUUUUCCACUUCAGCUAUUGCUCAUUGCUAUGGCUUUUUAAAUUCUCUCACUCAUUUUGCUUUUUGUGUAUUGGAUUCUAUUUAUUGCGGAUAUGUAAAAGUGUGUAAACACGUACAUACGCAUAUAGAAACGAAAGAUUUAAGAGAAAAUAAGAAUUUAUAAAAUAAAAACUUUAUGGAGAAUGAAGCCAAGUUAAAUAUAGUGGUUCCAACACAAAUGUAUCAGGCAAAAUUAAACUAAAAGCUGAAACUAACUUCUGAAAGAAAAGAUACAAAAUAACAGUAAUAUAGUGACAGCAACAUGGGCACUACUUCAAGAUUUAAUUGGAGAGGACCUGGAAAUAAAAAAACAUAAAAACACAGAUUAAAAAAAAAUAUGAGUAAGAAGCAGUACCUAAAGUUAAAAUUUUCAUGCUCUAUGAAGAUAUACGUUUUUAGUCAAAUGAUAAGGAAGAAUGCCUUGCAAAUCAUGGUAGUAGCUGAUCCAACUUUUAGAAAUAGAUUUAAUCACAAAAGACAAAAAGGAGUCACGGAGAUAUAUGAAAACGAGAUGGCAAUACACAUAAAAAGUGAUUUGUUAAUUCAAAGGAUACCAAAAAACCUUCCAAGUUUAUGAACAAUAGGGUGAUCACAGUACAUUAAGACCGAUAGAUCUGACCACACAAAAUUUAUAAACUUUCACACAUUCCCUCCAAAUAUACACGUAAAGAAUUAAAAAAAAAAAAAAAAAUGGGAAAAACCUGAAAUUCUU